GAUGAACGCUGGCGGCGUGCCUAAUACAUGCAAGUCGAGCGAACGGACGAGAAGCUUGCUUCUCUGAUGUUAGCGGCGGACGGGUGAGUAACACAUGGAUAACCUACCUAUAAGACUGGGAUAAAUUCGGGAAACCGGAGCUAAUACCGGAUAAUAUUUUGAACCGCAUGGUUCAAAAGUGAAAGACGGUCUUGCUGUCACUUAUAGAUGGAUCCGCGCUGCAUUAGCUAUUUGGUAAGGUAACGGCUUACCAAGGCAACGAUGCAUAGCCGACCUGAGAGGGUGAUCGGCCACACUGGAACUGAGACACGGUCCAGACUCCUACGGGAGGCAGCAGUAGGGAAUCUUCCGCAAUGGGCGAAAGCCUGACGGAGCAACGCCGCGUGAGUGAUGAAGGUCUUCGGAUCGUAAAACUCUGUUAUUAGGGAAGAACAUAUGUGUAAGUAACUGUGCACAUCUUGACGGUACCUAAUCAGAAAGCCACGGCUAACUACGUG
RNAcentral lists this ribosomal RNA (497 nucleotides) under uncultured bacterium. RNAcentral's name for it is "partial 16S ribosomal RNA". It matches the Rfam family "Bacterial small subunit ribosomal RNA", at positions 28 to 507 of the family's 1533-position model. The record is from RNAcentral.